GACGAACGCUGGCGGCGUGCCUAAUACAUGCAAGUCGAGCGAAUCAAUGGGAGCUUGCUCCCUGAGAUUAGCGGCGGACGGGUGAGUAACACGUGGGUAACCUGCCUGUAAGACUGGGAUAACUUCGGGAAACCGGAGCUAAUACCGGAUACGUUCUUUUCUCGCAUGAGAAGAGAUGGAAAGAUGGCUUCGGCUAUCACUUACAGAUGGACCCGCGGCGCAUUAGCUAGUUGGUGAGGUAACGGCUCACCAAGGCGACGAUGCGUAGCCGACCUGAGAGGGUGAUCGGCCACACUGGGACUGAGACACGGCCCAGACUCCUACAGGAGGCAGCAGUAGGGAAUCUUCCGCAAUGGACGAAAGUCUGGCGGAGCAACGCCGCGUGAGCGAAGAAGGCCUUCGGGUCGUAAAGCUCUGUUGUUAGGGAAGAACAAGUACAAGAGUAACUGCUUGUACCUUGACGGUGCCUAACCAGAAAGCCACGGCUAACUACGUGCCAGCCGCCGCAGUAA
Molecule: ribosomal RNA, 512 nt
Filed under: uncultured bacterium
Lineage: Bacteria
Description: partial 16S ribosomal RNA
Rfam family: Bacterial small subunit ribosomal RNA
Source: RNAcentral